CCUACGGGCGGCUGCAGUGGGGAAUAUUGCACAAUGGGCGCAAGCCUGAUGCAGCCAUGCCGCGUGUGUGAAGAAGGCCUUCGGGUUGUAAAGCACUUUCAGCGGGGAGGAAGGCGGUGAGGUUAAUAACCUCAUCGAUUGACGUUACCCGCAGAAGAAGCACCGGCUAACUCCGUGCCAGCAGCCGCGGUAAUACGGAGGGUGCAAGCGUUAAUCGGAAUUACUGGGCGUAAAGCGCACGCAGGCGGUCUGUCAAGUCGGAUGUGAAAUCCCCGGGCUCAACCUGGGAACUGCAUUCGAAACUGGCAGGCUAGAGUCUUGUAGAGGGGGGUAGGAUUCCAGGUGUAGCGGUGAAAUGCGUAGAGAUCUGGAGGAAUACCGGUGGCGAAGGCGGCCCCCUGGACAAAGACUGACGCUCAGGUGCGAAAGCGUGGGGAGCAAACAGGAUUAGAUACCCCUGUAGUC
This 465-nucleotide ribosomal RNA is filed under the name uncultured Klebsiella sp. RNAcentral's name for it is "bacterial SSU rRNA". It matches the Rfam family "Bacterial small subunit ribosomal RNA", at positions 338 to 795 of the family's 1533-position model. The record is from RNAcentral. Lineage: Bacteria; Pseudomonadati; Pseudomonadota; Gammaproteobacteria; Enterobacterales; Enterobacteriaceae.